GCCCGGCUAGCUCAGUCGGUAGAACAUGAGCCUCUUAAUCUCAGGGUCGUGGGUUUGAGCCCCACGUUGGGCG
Molecule: non-coding RNA, 73 nt
Organism: Megalops atlanticus (tarpon)
Lineage: Eukaryota; Metazoa; Chordata; Actinopteri; Elopiformes; Megalopidae
Source: the annotation of a GenBank genome assembly